This 663-nucleotide long non-coding RNA is filed under the name Equus asinus (donkey). RNAcentral's name for it is "lncRNA (ENSEASG00005035288.1)". Lineage: Eukaryota; Metazoa; Chordata; Mammalia; Perissodactyla; Equidae. The record is from RNAcentral.
AACUUCCGUGAUGUGAAAUGCAGCUGGAGAGCUGGAAGGAAGCCGAGGGACCUGCCAGGUAACCAAGAACGGGUCCCCAGGUCACUGCGCCUCACUUCAGGGAGGCUGCCUGGAGGCUCACUUCCAGCUGACUGGCCUUAGACAUCAUCAUAAGAGCCUUGCUUAUUUAGUUUCUCAGGGUAGGACAGAAUAAGAGCUUCAAAACGUGACAAGAACUCCUUACAGAAAGAAAGCCAAAAAACCAGCUAACUGAACAACUAAACGACGAAGGUGGAAAGCCCAACACACUGCAGAGGUCAGAAACGAGAACAAGGUAGCACUCGUCACACACCUAGAGCAUCUGGGCUCCAGCCGUCAGCAGCAGGGGGCCCGCCGUGGGCUAUCAGGAGCCGACGCUUUGGGACUCCAUCUGGGUUUGAGUCCUUACUGCCUUCUAGCUGGGAAAAUCACCUGUUUUUCGAGAUCCGGCCCAAAUAUCACAUCUCCUCAGACAUUUUCCCUGACUCCCAUGGCAGAGUAGCGGUUCCUCCCGUGUGUGCUCAGAACACAGCACAUAGCAGCUGCCCAAACGGGCACACCUCACUCUGGAUUGGCUCCUCAUCCCACUUCCAAACUCCCAGCCUGUUGUGACCGUAGACUUGCCAAGCACGAUAAUACUGCCGG